GACGAACGCUGGCGGCGUGCUUAACACAUGCAAGUCGAACGAAGAGCGAUGGAAGCUUGCUUCUAUCAAUCUUAGUGGCGAACGGGUGAGUAACGCGUAAUCAACCUGCCCUUCAGAGGGGGACAACAGUUGGAAACGACUGCUAAUACCGCAUACGAUCUAACCUCGGCAUCGAGGAAAGAUGAAAGGUGGCCUCUAUUUAUAAGCUAUCACUGAAGGAGGGGAUUGCGUCUGAUUAGCUAGUUGGAGGGGUAACGGCCCACCAAGGCGAUGAUCAGUAGCCGGUCUGAGAGGAUGAACGGCCACAUUGGGACUGAGACACGGCCCAGACUCCUACGGGAGGCAGCAGUGGGGAAUCUUCCGCAAUGGACGAAAGUCUGACGGAGCAACGCCGCGUGAGUGAUGAUGGCCUUCGGGUUGUAAAGCUCUGUUAAUCGGGACGAAAGGCCUUCUUGCGAACAGUUAGAAGGAUUGACGGUACCGGAAUAGAAAGCC
Molecule: ribosomal RNA, 495 nt
Filed under: Veillonella parvula
Lineage: Bacteria; Bacillati; Bacillota; Negativicutes; Veillonellales; Veillonellaceae
Description: bacterial SSU rRNA
Rfam family: Bacterial small subunit ribosomal RNA
Source: RNAcentral